UUACUGAGGCCCGUCCAGCUCAUCCCAGCCAGGGUAUGGCUGUCGGGGGCUGGAGCUAGAGGGAGCGCUGUCCGAAGGGCAGCACACUGACACUGUGCCUGCAGCUGGUAAGAGACGUGCCUGCGUGUGCCCGUCAGUUACCAGCAGGCCAGUGACGUCGGCCCACGUGUCUCACGCCUCCUCUCCCUGCCCAGCGCCCACAAUAGAGGAGCAGAGCCAACUACACUACACGCAGAAUGUGACCGCGCACCACUCUGCACCUGUAUAUAUUUACUUGAAAUUCACGCCGCUGGAGGAAACAGCCAAUCAUGCAACAGGACUCGCUGCUAAUCUGCCCAGCAACUCGCCGGCCCUAAGAAAGAACUCGAGAGAAAAGAAUGUGACCGCGCACCACUCUGCACCUGUAUAUAUUUACUUGAAAUUCCCGCCGUUAGAGGAAACAGCCAAUCAUGCAACAGGACUCGCUGCUAAUCUGCCCAGCAACUCGCCGGCCCUAAGAAAGAACUCAAGAGAAAAGCCUACUAGAUUCGACGAAAAGACCAGCCUACGACGACUUCUCCCUCGGAUGACUCCUCUUCUUUUAAUCUGACCUCCUAAGUCAAGUCAUUAUGGACUCAGCCUUCAUACCUUCAAGAUGAAGAUUUGACCUGCCUAACUGUUUAUGACGCAGAUAUGGAUUGUUUUUCUCCUAUACACAUCAAAGAAAGGAGACGUUAUUAGGUCACCUGGACUUAUAUCACCUCUCAUGAAGUAUGAUUGGUCAACACACCUACACCUGUUCAACAUGUUUGGUUGUACUGUUAAAG
This is a long non-coding RNA of Hyla sarda, 806 nucleotides long. RefSeq lists it as uncharacterized. The transcript is spliced from 4 exons. The record is from RefSeq and is a predicted model, not a curated record. Lineage: Eukaryota; Metazoa; Chordata; Amphibia; Anura; Hylidae.